UACGGGGGGUGCAAACGUUGCUCGGAAUCAUUGGGCGUAAAGCGCACGUAGGUGGCCUGUUAAGUCGGGUGUGAAAUCCCUGGGCUCAACCCAGGAAGUGCACUCGAAACUGGCAGGCUUGAGUACUGAAGAGGGUCGCGGAAUUCCCGGUGUAGAGGUGAAAUUCGUAGAUAUUCGCAAGAACACCAGUGGCGAAGGCGGCUCACUGGCCCGGUACUGACGCUGAGGUGCGAAAGCGUGGGGAGCAAACAGG
This 253-nucleotide ribosomal RNA is filed under the name uncultured bacterium. Its description in RNAcentral is "partial 16S ribosomal RNA". It matches the Rfam family "Bacterial small subunit ribosomal RNA", at positions 524 to 776 of the family's 1533-position model. The record is from RNAcentral.